RNAcentral lists this ribosomal RNA (119 nucleotides) under Salmo trutta (river trout). Lineage: Eukaryota; Metazoa; Chordata; Actinopteri; Salmoniformes; Salmonidae. The record is from RNAcentral.
GUUUACGGCCAUACCAGCCUGGGUACGCCCGAUCUCGUCUGAUCUCGGAAGCUAAGCAUGGUCGGGCCUGGUUAGUAUUUGGAUGGGAGACCGCCUGGGAAUACCAGGUGCUGUAAGCU